This 200-nucleotide unclassified non-coding RNA is filed under the name soil metagenome. RNAcentral describes it as "partial contains internal transcribed spacer 2 and large subunit ribosomal RNA". The record is from RNAcentral.
GUUCGAGCGCCAUUUUCACCAUCGAGCCCUGCUCGGAGAUGGGCCUCGUCCUCGCGGACGGGCCCGAAACCCGUGGGCGCCUUCGUCUGGCCCUGAGCGUAGCAAGAGAAAUCCCUCGCUCGGUGGACCGUCCGACGGCCGCCCCGACCAUUUUUUACAAGAUUGGCCUCGGAUCAGGUGGGGAUACCCGCUGAACUUAA